CGGUCGGAGCAUGUUGGUUUUAAUUCGAUGCAACGCGAAGAACCUUACCUGGGCUUGACAUCCCGGGAAUCCCUUGGAAACAAGGGAGUGCCCUUCGGGGAACCUGGAGACAGGUGCUGCAUGGCUGUCGUCAGCUCGUGUCGUGAGAUGUAGGGUUAAGUCCCGCAACGAGCGCAACCCUUGUCUUUAAUUGCCAUCAUUGAGUUGGGCACUUUAAAGAGACUGCCGGUGUUAAACCGGAGGAAGGUGGGGAUGACGUCAAGUCCUCAUGGCCCUUAUAGGUGGGGCUACACACGUCAUACAAUGGCUGGUACAAAGGGUUGCCAACCCGCGAGGGGGAGCCAAUCCCAUAAAGCCAGUCGUAGUCCGGAUCGCAGUCUGCAACUCGACUGCGUGAAGUCGGAAUCGCUAGUAAUCGUGGAUCAGCAUGUCACGGUGAAUACGUUCCCGGGUCUU
RNAcentral lists this ribosomal RNA (456 nucleotides) under uncultured Smithella sp. RNAcentral's name for it is "bacterial SSU rRNA". It matches the Rfam family "Bacterial small subunit ribosomal RNA", at positions 930 to 1382 of the family's 1533-position model. Lineage: Bacteria; Pseudomonadati; Thermodesulfobacteriota; Syntrophia; Syntrophales; Smithellaceae. The record is from RNAcentral.